Homo sapiens (human) is the source of this 374-nucleotide long non-coding RNA. RefSeq annotates it as long independently transcribed non-coding RNA 3224. Lineage: Eukaryota; Metazoa; Chordata; Mammalia; Primates; Hominidae. The record is from RefSeq and is marked validated.
CUCUCACCUAGAAAUUCUCUCUUAGGAGCUGAUCAAAAUCAAACUAAGAAAUUUUUUACACAUGUGAGUCUUGGGGACUUCAGGGUCAUUCAAGGCAGAAUCAGGCCAUAAAUAGUAAUGCCAGAGAUGACAGGAUGUGUAGAGGGACAGGGGAAAAAUCUUACAGUGAAAGAAGAGUAGGGGAGUCUUGAAGUAUAAGUCCUUUGGGGGUCAGAGGACUUUAGAGAAGCUGAUGUUGUAAAAGAAAACAGACUUGUCACCUCUGGCAAAGCCUCAACAUAUGGGUAUGUAUCCGUCAGGGUUCAGCCAGAGAAGCAGAACAACUGGAAGAUAAUUAGAAUUAUCAGGUAAGUGAAGAAAUCAAACUAAAGAAA